Molecule: ribosomal RNA, 253 nt
Filed under: uncultured prokaryote
Description: partial 16S ribosomal RNA
Rfam family: Bacterial small subunit ribosomal RNA
Source: RNAcentral
UACGUAGGUGGCAAGCGUUGUCCGGAAUUAUUGGGCGUAAAGGGCGUGUAGGUGGUCAAACAAGUCAGGUGUGAAACCCCGGGGCUUAACUUCGGGCAUGCAUUUGAAACUGAAAGACUUGAGGGCAAGAGAGGAAAGUGGAAUUCCUAGUGUAGCGGUGAAAUGCGUAGAUAUUAGGAGGAACACCAGUGGCGAAGGCGACUUUCUGGAUUGGCCCUGACACUGAGGCGCGAAAGCGUGGGGAGCAAACAGG